Molecule: transfer RNA, 65 nt
Filed under: Kusala populi
Lineage: Eukaryota; Metazoa; Arthropoda; Insecta; Hemiptera; Cicadellidae
Description: tRNA-Val
Source: RNAcentral
CAGAAUGUAUCUUAUAUAAAGUUAUUUAGUUACAUUAAAUUGAAAGUUAUUUUAACUCUUUCUGA